UACGGAGGAUGCAAGCGUUAUCCGGAUUCAUUGGGUUUAAAGGGUGCGUAGGCGGGCUAUUAAGUCAGUGGUGAAAUCCUGCAGCUUAACUGCAGAACUGCCGUUGAUACUGAUAGUCUUGAGUUUGGUUAAGGUAGGCGGAAUGUGUAAUGUAGCGGUGAAAUGCUUAGAUAUUACACAGAACACCAAUUGCGUAGGCAGCUUACUUAGCCGACACUGACGCUGAGGCACGAAAGCGUGGGGAUCAAACAGGAUUA
This 257-nucleotide ribosomal RNA is filed under the name uncultured prokaryote. RNAcentral's name for it is "partial 16S ribosomal RNA". It matches the Rfam family "Bacterial small subunit ribosomal RNA", at positions 524 to 780 of the family's 1533-position model. The record is from RNAcentral.